This is a non-coding RNA of Nipponia nippon (crested ibis), 3477 nucleotides long. The record is from RefSeq and is a predicted model, not a curated record. NCBI's taxonomy places the organism in Eukaryota, Metazoa, Chordata, Aves, Pelecaniformes, Threskiornithidae.
AUGGCUGCCUUCGGGGAGGCAGCUCCUUACCUCCGAAAAUCAGAGAAGGAGAGAAUUGAGGCCCAGAACAGGCCUUUUGAUGCCAAGACAUCUGUCUUUGUAGUGCAUCCUAAGGAAUCCUUUGUGAAAGGGUCAAUCCAGAGCAAAGAAUCAGGGAAGGUCACUGACAACAGAAGCUGGGGAGGGACCCUGACCGUAAAAGAAGAUCAGGUCUUUUCCAUGAACCCUCCCAAGUAUGAUAAAGUCGAAGACAUGGCCAUGAUGACCCACCUCCAUGAACCCGCUGUGCUGUACAACCUCAAAGAGCGUUAUGCAGCCUGGAUGAUCUACACCUACUCGGGACUCUUCUGUGUCACUGUCAAUCCCUACAAGUGGCUGCCGGUGUACAACCCGGAGGUGGUGUUGGCCUACCGAGGCAAGAAGCGCCAGGAGGCCCCUCCACACAUCUUCUCCAUCUCUGAUAAUGCCUAUCAGUUCAUGCUAACUGAUCGUGAGAACCAGUCAAUCCUGAUCACCGGAGAAUCCGGUGCAGGGAAGACUGUGAACACAAAGCGUGUCAUCCAGUACUUUGCAACAAUUGCAGCGAGUGGGGAGAAGAAGAAGGAGGAGCAGCAGUCAGGCAAAAUGCAGGGAACGCUUGAGGAUCAAAUCAUCAGCGCCAACCCACUGCUGGAGGCCUUUGGAAACGCUAAGACCGUGAGGAACGACAACUCCUCACGCUUUGGCAAAUUCAUUCGAAUCCACUUUGGAGCCACAGGCAAACUGGCUUCUGCUGACAUUGAAACAUAUCUGCUGGAGAAGUCCAGAGUCACUUUCCAGCUCAAGGCAGAAAGAAGCUACCACAUAUUUUACCAGAUCAUGUCCAACAAGAAGCCAGAGCUAAUUGACAUGCUCCUCAUUACCACCAACCCGUAUGACUAUCACUUUGUGAGUCAAGGUGAGAUCACAGUUCCCAGCAUUAACGACCAGGAAGAGCUGAUGGCCACGGACAGUGCCAUUGACAUCCUGGGCUUCACUGCUGAUGAAAAGACUGCCAUCUACAAGCUGACAGGGGCUGUCAUGCACUACGGGAACUUGAAGUUCAAACAGAAGCAACGAGAGGAGCAGGCAGAGCCCGAUGGCACAGAAGUUGCUGACAAGGCUGCCUACCUGAUGGGUCUGAAUUCAGCUGACCUGCUCAAAGCCCUAUGUUAUCCUCGAGUCAAAGUUGGGAAUGAAUUUGUGACCAAAGGUCAAACUGUGGAGCAGGUGAACAAUGCUGUAGGUGCUCUAGCAAAGGCUGUCUAUGAGAGGAUGUUCUUGUGGAUGGUUAUUCGCAUCAACCAACAGCUGGACACCAAGCAACCCAGACAGUACUUCAUUGGUGUCCUGGACAUUGCUGGCUUUGAGAUCUUUGAUUUCAAUAGCUUUGAGCAGCUGUGCAUCAACUUCACCAACGAGAAACUGCAACAGUUCUUCAACCACCACAUGUUUGUGCUGGAGCAGGAGGAGUACAAGAAGGAAGGGAUUGAGUGGACAUUCAUUGACUUUGGGAUGGACCUGGCUGCCUGCAUUGAGCUCAUUGAGAAGCCCAUGGGCAUCUUCUCCAUCCUGGAAGAGGAGUGCAUGUUCCCCAAGGCAACUGACACCUCUUUCAAGAACAAGCUCUAUGACCAGCAUCUGGGCAAGUCCAGCAACUUCCAGAAGCCCAAGCCUGGCAAGGGCACUUCUCCCUGACACUAUGCUGGUACAGUGGACUACAACAUCACUGGCUGGCUUGAGAAGAACAAGGACCCCCUGAACGAAACUGUCAUUGGGUUGUACCAGAAAUCAUCCGUGAAGACACUGGCUUUACUCUUUGCCAACUAUGGUGGAGCAGAUGCAGGUCAGCUCUAGGGUGGUGGCAAGAAGGGUGGCAAGAAGAAGGGUUCUUCUUUCCAGACUGUCUCAGCUCUUUUCCGGGAGAAUUUAAACAAGCUGAUGACAAAUCUACGCAGCACUCACCCCCAUUUUGUACGAUGCAUCAUCCCAAAUGAGACAAAAACACCUGGUGCCAUGGAGCAUGAGCUGGUGCUGCAUCAGCUGCGGUGUAACGGUGUGCUGGAAGGGAUCAGAAUUUGCAGGAAAGGAUUCCCCAGCAGAGUCCUGUAUGCUGACUUCAAACAAAGAUACAGAGUGCUUAAUGCAAGUGCUAUUCCAGAAGGUCAGUUCAUGGAUAGCAAGAAGGCUUCAGAGAAGCUUCUUGGGUCCAUUGAUGUGGACCACACCCAGUACAGAUUUGGUCACACCAAGGUGUUCUUCAAAGCUGGGCUGAUAGGUCUGCUGGAGGAGAUGAGAGAUGAGAAACUAGCAGAGAUUAUGACCAUGACACAGGCCAGGGCCAGGGGCUUCCUGAUGAGAGUGGAGUAUCGGAGAAUGGUGGAGAGGAGGGACUCAAUCUUCUGUAUCCAGUACAAUGUUCGUGCAUUCAUGAAUGUCAAGCACUGGCCAUGGAUGAAGCUGUUCUUCAAGAUCAAGCCCUUGCUGAAGAGUGCAGAAUCUGAGAAGGAGAUGGCCAACAUGAAACAAGAGUUUGAGAAAACCAAGGAAGAGCUUGCAAAGUCUGAGGCAAAGAGGAAAGAGCUGGAGGAGAAAAUGGUGACCUUACUGCAGGAGAAAAAUGACCUGCAGCUCCAAGUGCAGGCGGAAGCGGACAGCUUGGCUGAUGCUGAGGAAAGAUGUGACCAGCUCAUCAAAACCAAAAUCCAGCUGGAAGCCAAAAUUAAGGAGGUGACUGAAAGGGCUGAGGAUGAGGAGGAAAUCAAUGCUGAGCUGACAGCCAAGAAGAGAAAACUGGAGGAUGAAUGUUCAGAGCUGAAGAAAGAUAUUGAUGACCUCGAGUUAACAUUGGCCAAAGUGGAGAAGGAGAAGCAUGCCACUGAAAACAAGGUGAAAAACCUCACAGAGGAGAUGUCAGCCCUGGAUGAGACCAUUGCCAAGCUGACAAAAGAGAAGAAAGCCCUCCAAGAGGCCCAUCAGCAGACACUGGAUGACCUGCAGGUAGAAGAGGACAAGGUCAAUACUCUGACCAAAGCUAAGACCAAGCUGGAGCAGCAAGUGGACGAUCUGGAAGGGUCCCUGGAGCAAGAGAAGAAACUGCGCAUGGACCUUGAGAGAGCUAAGAGGAAACUCGAAGGAGACCUGAAGCUGGCCCAUGACAGCAUAAUGGAUCUGGAAAAUGAUAAGCAGCAGCUGGAUGAGAAACUGAAGAAGAAAGACUUUGAAAUCAGCCAGAUCCAGAGCAAAAUCGAGGAUGAGCAAGCCCUGGGCAUGCAACUACAGAAGAAGAUCAAGGAGCUGCAGGAGGAGCUGUCCAAUGUCAACCUCUCCAAGUUCCGCAAGAUCCAGCAUGAGCUGGAGGAAGCCGAGGAGCGGGCUGACAUUGCAGAGUCGCAGGUCAACAAGCUCCGAGUCAAAAGCCGGGAGUUUCACGGCAAGAAGAUAGAAGAGGAAGAGUGA